AGCUCCAAUAGCGUAUAUUAAAGUUGUUGCAGUUAAAAAGCUCGUAGUUGGAUUUCUGGCUUGGCAUGUGCGGUCUUACCUAUGGUAAGUACUUCGCGGCCGAGCCUUCCUCUCGAAUACUGUGCGUUCCCUUAACUGGGCGCGCUCAGGAGUCGGGACCUUUACUUUGAAAAAAUUAGAGUGUUCAAAGCAAGCAAUCGCUUGAAUACAUUAGCAUGGAAUAAUGGAAUAGGACUUUGGUUCUAUUUUGUUGGUUUCUAGGACCGAAGUAAUGAUUAAUAGGGAUAGUUGGGGGCAUUAGUAUUUAAUUGUCAGAGGUGAAAUUCUUAGAUUUAUUAAAGACUAACUUCUGCGAAAGCAUUUGCCAAGGAUGUUUUCAUUAAUCAAGAACGAAAGUACG
This 400-nucleotide ribosomal RNA is filed under the name phytoplankton environmental sample. Its description in RNAcentral is "partial small subunit ribosomal RNA". It matches the Rfam family "Eukaryotic small subunit ribosomal RNA", at positions 587 to 993 of the family's 1831-position model. The record is from RNAcentral.